AAAGAAAAGAAAAGUAGACCUGCCAUCUGACCCAGCUCUGCUGCUCCUGGGUGUAUACUUAGUGUACUGGACUGCCCCGUAGAGAUAUUCGCACGCCAGUGUUUAUUGCUGCUUUAUUUAUGUCGGCAGGGAAACGGAAGCAGCCUAGAUGUCCGUCAGCAGAUGCUGGUAAUGCAAAUGUGGUGUGUGCACAGCCCAGAGUGUUAUCCAGAAAAAAAAUGGGAAAUUUGCAGGAAAAUGUGCAGAUCGUGGGAGUAUAAUAUCAAGCAAGGUGACACAACCUCAGAAGAAAGCUGAGCAUUCGGACACAUAUGUGGGUCCCAGCCUGUAGAGUGUAUGUGUAUGUGUGUGAACAGGUAUAGGUACACAUACAGUCUGAGUAGACGUGUGUGUAAACAGAUAUAGGUGUACAUACAGUCUAUGUAUAUGUGUGUGAACAGGUAUAGGUGCACAUACAGUCUAAGUAUGUGUGUGUGUGUGUGUGAACAGGCAUAGGUGCACAUACAGUCUAAGUAUGCGUGUGUGUAAACAGGUAUAGGUACACAUACAGUCUGAGUAGACGUGUGUGUAAACAGAUAUAGGUGUAUAUAAAUCUAUAUGUGUGUGAACAGGCAUAGGUGUACAUACAGUCUAUGUAUAUGUGUGUGUAAACAGGUAUAAGUGCACACACAGUCCAAGGUGUGCAGAGGAGACCAAGGAAGAGCGCUACCAGCAAUGAGGGAAGGACUAGAAUGUCGGCAAAGGACACCUAAGUCAAGACAGAGGAUCCUAAGUUGAAAUUUUCCCCCUUGUUUUUCCUUUGUGUGAGUUCAGCUUUCUGGGUGUUGAGUCGCAAGAUCUACUGUUGCAUUUCCGAAGACUCGGGCGUUGACAUUCUUUUGUGGGAGUGAUCUGAAGAUUGGGCUUUCUUUUUAAUGCCUUUGACCAUCAGGGCCUAGGAAGCAAGCGACACGAGUCACUGGACAUAUUUGUCACACAGACCCACUUAGAAGAGGCACCCACAUCUUACAGAUGGGGAAACUGGCCCGGAGAGUUUGAACGGCUCCCUCUGUCCUCAUUCCUAGUAAGUGAUAAACUAGGGAUUGAAACCCUACAAGUUCACCUCUGUCGGAAAUGCUCCAGGACAUCUUUGGAUCUGUGGGAAACCCUGCUUGUGCCCUGAAGGUUAAAAUUCUCUCGUCAUGGUCUGGAGAGAUGGUUCAGCGGUUCAGAGUACUUGCUGCUCUUGAAGAGAGCUUGCGUUUGGUUCCCAGCACCCAUGACUCUAGUUCCAGGGCAUCUAAAGCCUUCUUCUGACUUCCAUGGGCACAUGGUACACAUUCAUUCAUCUCAUCUCAGGGUUUAAUGUCCAAUGACAUGACCACAGGUAACACCCGUGGGAAAAUCUCAGGAAAUUUUCACAGGAAAGUGUAAUUCAUAACAUUUACAUGGUCCAGUUAAUGUUUACUCAAAUUUCAGUUUUCUGAGUACUAAUAAAAAUUGCCUCCAAACUUCUCCUGAA
Molecule: long non-coding RNA, 1501 nt
Organism: Alexandromys fortis (reed vole)
Lineage: Eukaryota; Metazoa; Chordata; Mammalia; Rodentia; Cricetidae
Exons: 2
Source: RefSeq, a predicted model, not a curated record